GAUCAUGGCUCAGGAUGAACGCUGGCGGCGUGCUUAACACAUGCAAGUCGAACGAAGCACUCUAUUUGAUUUUCUUCGGAAAUGAAGAUUUUGUGACUGAGUGGCGGACGGGUGAGUAACGCGUGGGUAACCUGCCUCAUACAGGGGGAUAACAGUUGGAAACGACUGCUAAUACCGCAUAAGCGCACAGGAUCGCAUGACCCGGUGUGGAAAACUCCGGUGGUAUGAGAUGGACCCGCG
Molecule: ribosomal RNA, 240 nt
Filed under: uncultured bacterium
Lineage: Bacteria
Description: partial 16S ribosomal RNA
Rfam family: Bacterial small subunit ribosomal RNA
Source: RNAcentral